CAAAGGGGUGUUAGGAGCAGGGGGUGGGAUUGAGGGAAGGAGGGAGGGAUCAGGAGGGAUAUUGUUGUUGCUACUUUGGAGAUCUAACUUUAUAAUUAUUCCUUCGCCUGCACUAAGUUGACCUUGGCUGAGCGGCUGUCAGUCUGUCAGUCUCUCUUCUAGCCUCAGGAUUGUGCUCUGCCUUGCUCAGCCCUGCCCUGCCUCCUCCUUACGUAAUAAUCUUACCACCAGUAACUUUACACUCAUCCAAACACUCACACAUUCACACGCUACCACCACCAGUAUAGUGCGCAUCACCACCACUCACUGCCAUUCACGCUUCGCGCCACCAUUCAGCCGCUGUGUGCCGGGUAAAGACGCACAGACAGACACACACACACACACACACACACACACACACACACACACACACACACACACACACGAUUCCUUUACUUUCACCUGUCAUGUCUCUGAUCUUUUCCUGCAGCGCUUUCAUCUCUUUCUCCUCCUUUCCUUCUCUUCCUCCUUUUUGUAGCUCUUCACCUCGUCUCCUUAUUCCUUGAUAAUCGGUUCAGUGGGUCACGAGGACAAUCAUUGCGCCUCUACACUCUUAUCUCUACUCUCUCCAGUUUCCCAGAUACAGAUAGAUACUACUCCUCGCGGUGGCACUCGUGGUCUAUCAGAGUCACCGCUAGCGACUCUCAAUUUUCCCUGCGCGACAUCUGCGGCCCAUGGCUGUCCAGUCACACUCUCUCGCUUGGAGCCGUAAGUCUCUCUCAAACGCAAGAACCGUUCCCGGUCUUCACUUAUCGCUUCAUCUCCAUGAGCUGGUUCCAUCCGGCGUGGCACGGCGUGGGCUGAGGCAGGCUUGUGCUGGGCAGGCUUGUCCAGGCUCCGUGGCAGAUGUCGUCAGGCGCGCCCUGUAAUACUAAUGACUAGGUUGUUAUUACGUAUUAUAUCAAUACACUUAACAUGAAGAAGAAAUACAUAGUGAUUCAUUGUAG
Molecule: long non-coding RNA, 986 nt
Organism: Portunus trituberculatus (swimming crab)
Lineage: Eukaryota; Metazoa; Arthropoda; Malacostraca; Decapoda; Portunidae
Exons: 2
Source: RefSeq, a predicted model, not a curated record